RNAcentral lists this ribosomal RNA (408 nucleotides) under uncultured bacterium. Its description in RNAcentral is "partial 16S ribosomal RNA". It matches the Rfam family "Bacterial small subunit ribosomal RNA", at positions 28 to 526 of the family's 1533-position model. The record is from RNAcentral.
GACGAACGCUGGCGGCGUGCUUAACACAUGCAAGUCGAACGAAGUGGCGAACGGGUGAGUAACGCGUAAUCAACCUGCCCUUCAGAGGGGGACAACAGGUGGAAACGAACGCUAAUACCGCAUACUGAAGCGGGGGAUUGCGUCUGAUUAGCUAGGUGGAGGGGUAACGGCGCACCAAGGCGAUGAUCAGUAGCCGGUCGGAGAGGAUGAGCGGCCACAUUGGGACUGAGACACGGCCCAGACUCCUACGGGAGGCAGCAGUGGGGAAUCUGCCGCAAUGGACGAAAGUCUGACGGAGCAACGCCGCGGGAGUGAUGACGGCCUUCGGGUUGUAAAGCUCUGUUAAUCGGGACGCGGUACCGGAAUAGAAAGCAACGGCUAACUACGUGCCAGCAGCCGCGGUAAUAC